ACACCUCCAAGGUCAUGUGGCCGGCAUGACUGCAAGCAGCGCCGUUACCUUUCCACUAGCGUGGUACCUAUUGAUCUACUCACAUUUGCAUGUUUUCAAACUGCUAGGUUGGCAGGAGCUGGGGCUAACAGCAGGCACUCAUUCCGCUCCCGGGAUUUGAAUCUGGGACCUUUUGGUCUGCAAGUUCAGCAGCUCAGCGCUUUAACACACUGUGCCAUCAGGGGCCCCACUGGAGCAACCGGAGUUGCUUCUGGAGUGAGAGAAUUGGCUAUCUGCAAGGACGUUGCCCAGGGGACGCCCGGAUGUUUUGAUGUUUUCCCAUCCUUGUGGGAGGCUUCUCUCAUGUCCCCGCAUGGAGCUG
This 361-nucleotide long non-coding RNA is filed under the name Anolis carolinensis (green anole). RNAcentral describes it as "lncRNA (ENSACAG00000041852.1)". The record is from RNAcentral. Lineage: Eukaryota; Metazoa; Chordata; Lepidosauria; Squamata; Anolidae.